AUAAGGAAAGGGUAAGCGAGGUGUAAUUCCUCCACAGUGCCGCUACCGUAAAGUCGGAAAACCACCUUAU
This 70-nucleotide non-coding RNA is filed under the name Candidatus Levyibacteriota. The record is from RNAcentral.